GUAGGUACAGCUCAGUGGUAGAGUUGAUGCUUUCCAUGCACGAGGUCUUGGGUUCAAUCCCCAGUACCUUCU
This 72-nucleotide transfer RNA is filed under the name Camelus ferus (Wild Bactrian camel). It matches the Rfam family "tRNA". From Rfam's summary of the family: Transfer RNA (tRNA) molecules are approximately 80 nucleotides in length. The record is from Rfam by way of RNAcentral. Lineage: Eukaryota; Metazoa; Chordata; Mammalia; Artiodactyla; Camelidae.